This 361-nucleotide long non-coding RNA is filed under the name Phoenix dactylifera (date palm). RNAcentral describes it as "long non-coding RNA (PDAC_LNC001777)". Lineage: Eukaryota; Viridiplantae; Streptophyta; Magnoliopsida; Arecales; Arecaceae. The record is from RNAcentral.
AUCAAAAAUUUCUAUCAAAUUUCAGAAUUUGGCACAUAGAAUUUCAGAAUUUGGCACGCUCCUUUCACACCUCGAUACAUAACCUGAAACUCAUGUUUUAUCUCUAAUUUUUGGAGUUUCAUCCUUAAUGAAUUAUAAAUGAAAGGGGGAGCAAUUCAAAAAGUCAAAUUGGCAACAUUUGAAUGAUAUAGGGGGAGACUUCACUCUUAUAUAUGAAAAGCUGAAAUUCAGCAAGUUAAGUCCCUUCUAAAACUAAAUUUAAGAUAAGUAUCAAGAGGCUCAUACUCUUUAUUUUGUAAUCAUCAAAAAGGGGGAGAUUGAGGAUGAUAGUGUUAUUUUGAUGAUUAACAAGCAAUUAUCU